AGUGAUUCAACCGCGCCACCGAGCGCGGAGCUGCCCUGGAGGACGCAGGCGGGUCUAGUUGCCCGGGUCCCCCAAGGCCCCCGGAUUCACCCAGGCCCGCGACUCCGACGUGCAGCUUAGGUGGGUUGCAGGUCUAUGGCAGGAAAGGGAGGGCGCCUUGGAAGAAUUCUUCCCUUCCAUUUGGUGAUAAAGUGGGAGAGGCGGCAUUUACAACAUUUAAUAGAAAGCACGGGCUCUGGGCUCCCCUCGGGCAGCGGAGGGCAUUUCCCGGAUGCUUUGCCCACCUGGGGCAGAAGCUCGGGACCUGCAGCGAAGUAAACGUGUGGCUGUGAGCAGGGCCCUCUCCCAGCCACGGUGGCUUCUUCUACCCCACGAAGGUCAAGAAUACCUGGCCUGCCCACCUCGCGGGGCCCUUAGCGGGUCGCACAGGAGAAAGGCGGUGGGAAUGCCGGUGUCAGCCACGGUGUGACCGGCUCGGCUCACAGGUCUGAGGGUCAGUUGGCUCAGGCAUCGCCCGGUACGACCAGAGAUAGUGACUGAGGAAGAGCAGCCUCACAUCUGGCAGUUUGCCUCUGGGAGAAUUCCAGCGUGACAUCUGCAGCUCUGUGGUUCCAGAAAGGAUGGUUCCCACAUUGAAGAAGACAUCUGUGGGACUGAGUUCCACCGAAAUGCAGAGGAACCAAAAAUGAAAAUGAAAAAUGUAACCAGAGUUGUGUGCCACUAGUUUUAAGCUUUGGUUUUUCUAAAUUAUUUUCUGGCUUCUCCUUCUGGGCUUUGCUGUAAACUUGCCAAGCAUGAGAACAACUCUUCAUCUAUUGAGUGGCAUUUUAAGCCAUCCUGUCAAAGUAUCUCCUGUCAUUUUUAUUAUUAUUACUCUAUAUUGCCUGCAAGACACGACUGGAGAAUUCUUAGUCCUAGUUAACAGAUGCUCCAAAUUUUGAGCCUGUAACCCUUCCAAUCCCUUGCUGCCUUUGAUGGUGAUGCUCCAUCCUAUUAUACCAACUCCACAUUGAAGCAGAA
Molecule: long non-coding RNA, 1020 nt
Filed under: Homo sapiens (human)
Lineage: Eukaryota; Metazoa; Chordata; Mammalia; Primates; Hominidae
Description: non-protein coding lnc-ABCD3-1:5
Source: RNAcentral